Molecule: non-coding RNA, 102 nt
Filed under: Desulfosporosinus acidiphilus
Lineage: Bacteria; Bacillati; Bacillota; Clostridia; Eubacteriales; Desulfitobacteriaceae
Description: Guanine sequence
Rfam family: Purine riboswitch aptamer
About the family: Riboswitches are metabolite binding domains within certain messenger RNAs that serve as precision sensors for their corresponding targets. Allosteric rearrangement of mRNA structure is mediated by ligand binding, and this results in modulation of gene expression.
Source: RNAcentral
GAUAAAAUAAUUUAAUAUGUUCAUAUAGUCGCAGAGAUAGGGUCUGCAAGUUUCUACCGGACUGCCGUAAAUGGUCCGACUAUGAGCGAAGUACCUAGCAAA